UCGGACUGUAGUCUGCAAUCGACUACACGAAGCCGGAAUCGCUGUAAUCGCGAAUCAGAAUGUCGCGGUGAAUACGUUCCCGGGUCUUGUACACACCGCCCGUCACACCAUGGGAGUCGGAAAUGCCCGAAGUCAGUGACCUAACCUUUAAGGGAGGAGCUACCGAAGGUGGAGCCGGUAACUGGGGUGAAGUCGUAACAAGGUAAC
RNAcentral lists this ribosomal RNA (207 nucleotides) under uncultured bacterium. RNAcentral describes it as "partial 16S ribosomal RNA". It matches the Rfam family "Bacterial small subunit ribosomal RNA", at positions 1293 to 1500 of the family's 1533-position model. The record is from RNAcentral.